AGAGUUUGAUCCUGGCUCAGGAUAAACGCUGGCGGCGUGCUUAACACAUGCAAGUUGGACGGGAAUACUCGAGGAAGAGACUUCGGUUAAUUUUUUGGGUAUGAGAGUAGCGGACGGGUGAGUAAUACAUAAGAAUCUAUCCAUCAGAGGGGGACAACUGCGGGAAACCGGAGCUAAUACCCCGUAAGCCGGAAGGUGAAAGGGAGCAAUCCGCUGAUGGAGGAGCUUGUGUCCUAUCAGGUAGUUGGUGAGGUAAGAGCUCACCAAGCCGAAGACGGGUAGCCGGGCUGAGAGGUUGUACGGCCACAUUGGAACUGAGAGACGGUCCAGACUCCUACGGGAGGCAGCAGUGGGGAAUAUUGGGCAAUGGGCGAAAGCCUGACCCAGCGACGCCGCGUGAGGGAAGACGGCCUUCGGGUUGUAAACCUCUGUUGCAGGGGAAGAAGGAAGUGACGGUACCCUGCGAGGAAGCUCCGGCAAACUACGUGCCAGCAGCCGCGGUAAUACGUAGGGAGCGAGCGUUAUCCGGAAUUACUGGGCGUAAAGGGCGCGUAGGCGGAAUGACAAGUCAGCAAGUGAAAGCGUGGGGCUCAACCCCAUGAUGCGGCUGAAACUGUUAUUCUAGAGGCAUGGAGAGGCAAACGGAAUUCCCGGUGUAGCGGUGAAAUGCGUAGAUAUCGGGAAGAACACCAGUGGCGAAGGCGGUUUGCUGGCCAUGAACUGACGCUCAUAGCGCGAAAGCUAGGGUAGCAAACGGGAUUAGAUACCCCGGUAGUCCUAGCAGUAAACGAUGUAUGCUGGGUGUGGGUGUAGCGAUACAUCCGUGCCGAAGUUAACGCGAUAAGCAUACCGCCUGGGGAGUACGGUCGCAAGAUUGAAACUCAAAGGAAUUGACGGGGGCCCGCACAAGCGGUGGAGCACGU
RNAcentral lists this ribosomal RNA (923 nucleotides) under Jonquetella anthropi DSM 22815. RNAcentral describes it as "bacterial SSU rRNA". It matches the Rfam family "Bacterial small subunit ribosomal RNA", at positions 8 to 942 of the family's 1533-position model. The record is from RNAcentral. Lineage: Bacteria; Thermotogati; Synergistota; Synergistia; Synergistales; Dethiosulfovibrionaceae.